This is a long non-coding RNA of Manis pentadactyla (Chinese pangolin), 662 nucleotides long. RefSeq lists it as uncharacterized. The transcript is spliced from 4 exons. The record is from RefSeq and is a predicted model, not a curated record. Lineage: Eukaryota; Metazoa; Chordata; Mammalia; Pholidota; Manidae.
CCCAAGUGAGCAACUGUUCAUUCUUUCUGUGAACUUGGUUGGUGGUGAAGAGGCAAUGUGGCAAGAGCCACAGAGGCAUGGCAAGACCUCCCUGUGAUCCCUUCUCCUGAGCGAUAAUGGGCUGGCAUGUUUUCAUAAGAGCGAGAGCCAUCAAAGUUACUCUGAAAUGACCUUCCCAACAUGCAAAAUCACAACAUUGAACUCCGAACACAGAGAACCACAGAACUCGGGGUCAGUUCCCCAAACACGGAGAGAAAGUGGAUGCUUCGUGCCGAUGAAAGCGACCUGAACCAGACUUGCAGGCAUUCCCCAACUCCCAUUACCUUCAAUAUUUGUGCCCAAGGAAGCAUCCUGUCCCUCCAUCUCUUCUCUAGGAAGGCCUUGGUGUUGGUCGCUGGGAUAACUGGAUUUGGAUUCCCUGGCAGGGGGCCCAGAGUCUUCCUCACACUAAGAUCCUGUCUUAUUUCACAGUUGCUGAAAACCUGUUCAGAGAAUGAUGCCUUUUAAUGCUUUGGAUCCAGCCUGUGACUGACUGAGCACAACUCUGAUGAAGAGGUGGACGCAGCUGGGGUCAGAGCUCCGGAAGAGCUGGCAGCAAACAUUGGGCGCUUGCUGUGUGUCAGGCCCUGGUCAAGCCCCCAAGAGACUCCAGAGAACAAAAC